RNAcentral lists this ribosomal RNA (327 nucleotides) under Malus domestica (apple). RNAcentral's name for it is "rRNA MD11G0118600". It matches the Rfam family "Bacterial small subunit ribosomal RNA", at positions 562 to 870 of the family's 1533-position model. Lineage: Eukaryota; Viridiplantae; Streptophyta; Magnoliopsida; Rosales; Rosaceae. The record is from RNAcentral.
GUCAGCCAUUGACAAAGAUAGUUCUCUUAAUAAUCAAGCAAUAUUAUAAAUCCCAGGGCUCAACCCUGGACAAGUGGUGGAAACUACCAAACUGGAGUACGGUAGGGGCAGAGGGAAUUUUCGGUGGAGCGGUGAAAUGCAUAGAGAUCAAAAAGAACACCAAUGGCGAAAGCACUCUACUGGGCCAACACUGACACUGAGAGACAAAAGCUAGGGCAGCAAAUGGGAUUAGAUACCCCAGUAGUCCUAGCCAUAAAUGAUGAAUACUAGGCAUUGUACGUAUCGAUAUGUGUAGUGCUGUAGCUAACGCGUUUAAAUAUCCCACCU